Mytilus californianus (California mussel) is the source of this 282-nucleotide long non-coding RNA. RefSeq lists it as uncharacterized. The transcript is spliced from 3 exons. NCBI's taxonomy places the organism in Eukaryota, Metazoa, Mollusca, Bivalvia, Mytilida, Mytilidae. The record is from RefSeq and is a predicted model, not a curated record.
CUCUUUCAGAGACGGAGGCACUCACCGAAAGUGAACAUUUUUCGAUUCUGGAAAAAAUCCAUUGGUGCUAUAUAUUUCAAGCUGUGACUAUUACAUAAUUAAAUUGAUAGUUUCAGUUACAAGCCAGUGAAGAGAUGCCAAUUGAAACGAUAACUUCUGUUACUGCCUCCAACACAGGACGAGAUCAAUUUUUGAAUCGUUCCAAAUCUAUGAAGAAAUGUCGAUCAAAUUCAGUUCCUUUCCUUCUUUCAAGCAAAGAAGAUAUUACAGAAGAAAAAGAUA